CAAGGCCACACCCCCUAAUAGCGCCACUCCCUGUGAGCCUAUGGCGGCCAUUUUUCCUCCAAACCAUCACAUCCACAUAACAUGAGAGCAUCGCUUACUUUUCUGUUGCCAUGAUAAAACGCGAUAACCAAGAGAGUUUAUUUUGGUUUGUGGUUCCAGAAGAAAGAGAGUCCGUCACGGCAGGGAGCAAGGCAUGGUGGCAGGAACAGGAAGUGAGGCGUGCACAUCUUCAGGCAUAAACACGAAGCAGAGCGUGAACUGGAAGUGGGAUGAGGUUAUAUACGAUCAAAGGCCACCCUCAGUGACAUACUUUCUCCAGUAAGGCCACACCUUCUAAAGGUCCCGUAACCUCCAACUGCGGACCAUGAGUUUAUGAGGGACGUUCUCUUCAAAAUACCCUAAUGAGCCUAGCUAGAACCACAACUAACGGCACGUCUCCAAGAGCAGAGACAAACUCCAUUCAGAACUAUAGACCAGGAUUACAUCAUCUCCACAGUUGUCCUCAGUCUGCAAGAGUCCCAUCUAAAGUACCACAGAUUCUCAUCUGGAUGAGACAGGUUUUCUACAACAGAUGGGACAAAGAAGAGAGAUGGGAAUGGACCUGAGCCAAGGCUCAGGAAGACUUUUCCCCACAAAAGCAAAAGUGUGCUUUACAAGAGGAGACAUGGGAACAGUUCAGCUGCUCAGUUACUUGGAGGCCGUGAUAAAACAAACACACUGAGGGAGGCAACUUGAGGGAGAAAAGAUAUGCUUGGCUCACAAAUCCAGGUGAAAGUCAGUCACUGAAGGACAAGUCAAGAAGGCAGGAACUUGAGGCAACUGGUCAUCUUACAUCCACAAUCAAGAGCAGAGAGCCUUGAGUUAAAUGAAGAUCUCUCUACUUAUGAGAGGGAGAGGAUGUUUUCCAAAACUAGCAACAAUCCCAGACUGCGGAGCUCACUACGCAGCAUUCCAGCACCAUCAAAAUGAAAUCACCUAGUAAAAACCAUCUCGGCUUCCAAAAAUACCCAUGAAUUAGAAUCCCCCAUGGGUCCCAGCUUGGAACACAACUGCCAUUUAUAUAAUUCAAGGUCCAGAACCAAAACAGAACUACCACAAAAGGCCCCAUGCAGACUUCGCAUUCGAAGUUUUUGACAAAGGAGAGCAAUCAAUAAAAGGAUUCGGAGGCUCCAGCCUCUAGCCGGAGCCUUCCUACUGAAGGAGGAGGGGCCUGGCCCAGACUGGCUGGAGAUGCUGAGGUGUUCAAUUCCAGGCUCAUAAAUCGGCCAGGCUGUACUUCCUGCCUCCCCGUCCUCAGACACCAGCGUCUUCCCAUUAAUGUCUUUUCAACAUGGGCCAGACAGAAACCACCUUCUGGGGGAAACACAUCCCCUGAGUUCCUUUUCAGCUGGAAAGCUGGUUUUCAAGAAAGCCUCUACGCAUUUAGCUCUCCAAAGGCCUGGCAGUCACAGACUUGUAGUCACGUGGUCGUGAUAUCAGACUGGAAAUCUUAUACCUCCCCAGCUUACCACAGCAAUGCAUUUCUUUGGCUUCCUUCCAGGACACAGCCAGCCGGGAACAGCACAGCAAUCCUUUCCUUCACAUCUGAAUAUGGCAACUAUAAUUUUUUGUUCGUUUGUUUUCUUUGAGACAGGGUUUCUCUGUGUAGCCCUGGCUGUCCUGGAACUCACUCUGUAGACCAGACCGGCCUCAAACUCAGAGAUCCACCUGCUUCUGCCUCCCAAGUGUUGUGAUUAAAGGUAUGUGCCACCAUCACCUGACAAUGGUAACUUUUAAUAGAAAGAGUUUUGUUUACAGGCUAGUCCCGUGUCCAUCUUCCAAAGUCAUUCCUGACGCAUGACAAAGGCCAGUCCCAGAACAUCACCAGUCACAGAGUCACCAGCCCAGACCUUCUGAUCAACAACUUGUAAUGUUAAGACCUGGGGCUUCUAAUGGAAAUCAGGAAGUCCUACUGCCCAGCAGGUUUCAUCUGAAGAUGCUAUAAUGAGAAGGACCUGGCUCCAUAGACUAUCAGCUCAGCACAGUUGUCUCGGCCAAACCAUCUCCAUGGUGACUCCCUUCUUGCUCGUGAAGAGGAUAAGACCCUAGGUCCUGGUCAGUGUUAUGGUGUCAGCCUUCCACAAGUUCACAAAGAGGUAUCUGAGCAGCUCAUUCUGGCUGGAGGACUGGAUGAAGCCUCUGAGUCCUGUUUUUCCCUGGUCCUUAGCAGAAAUGAAUGGAGAAGCAACAUCCCUGCUUAAGGCAUCCCUCACAGAGUGAGCAGGCCACAACUGAACCUUUCCUGUCAAGCCCUGUACAUUCGUGAGGUCCUGAGCUAGACAUCUACUUAUGGGGUUCCUGCAUUGGGAUCA
Molecule: long non-coding RNA, 2351 nt
Organism: Peromyscus eremicus (cactus mouse)
Lineage: Eukaryota; Metazoa; Chordata; Mammalia; Rodentia; Cricetidae
Exons: 4
Source: RefSeq, a predicted model, not a curated record